RNAcentral lists this ribosomal RNA (387 nucleotides) under uncultured bacterium. RNAcentral describes it as "bacterial SSU rRNA". It matches the Rfam family "Bacterial small subunit ribosomal RNA", at positions 30 to 416 of the family's 1533-position model. The record is from RNAcentral.
AUUGAACGCUGGCGGCAUGCCUUACACAUGCAAGUCGAACGGCAGCACGGGAGCAAUCCUGGUGGCGAGUGGCGAACGGGUGAGUAAUGUAUCGGAACGUACCUUUCAGUGGGGGAUAACGUAGCGAAAGUUACGCUAAUACCGCAUAUUCUGUGAGCAGGAAAGCAGGGGAUCGCAAGACCUUGCGCUGAUUGAGCGGCCGAUAUCAGAUUAGCUAGUUGGUGAGGUAAAGGCUCACCAAGGCGACGAUCUGUAGCGGGUCUGAGAGGAUGAUCCGCCACACUGGAACUGAGACACGGUCCAGACUCCUACGGGAGGCAGCAGUGGGGAAUUUUGGGACAAUGGGCGCAAGCCUGAUCCAGCCAUGCCGCGUGAGUGAAGAAGGCC